GACGAACGCUGGCGGCGCGCCUAACACAUGCAAGUCGAACGAGCGAGAGAGAGCUUGCUUUCUCGAGCGAGUGGCGAACGGGUGAGUAACGCGUGAGGAACCUGCCUCAAAGAGGGGGACAACAGUUGGAAACGACUGCUAAUACCGCAUAAGCCCACGGUGCCGCAUGGUACAGAGGGAAAAGGAGCAAUCCGCUUUGAGAUGGCCUCGCGUCCGAUUAGCUAGUUGGUGAGGUAACGGCCCACCAAGGCGACGAUCGGUAGCCGGACUGAGAGGUUGAACGGCCACAUUGGGACUGAGACACGGCCCAGACUCCUACGGGAGGCAGCAGUGGGGAAUAUUGCACAAUGGGGGAAACCCUGAUGCAGCGACGCCGCGUGGAGGAAGAAGGUCUUCGGAUUGUAAACUCCUGUUGUUGGGGAAGAUAAUGACGGUACCCAACAAGGAAGUGACGGCUAACUACGUGCCAGCAGCCGCGGUAAAACGUAGGUCACAAGCGUUGUCCGGAAUUACUGGGUGUAAAGGGAGCGCAGGCGGGAAGACAAGUUGGAAGUGAAAUCUAUGGGCUCAACCCAUAAACUGCUUUCAAAACUGUUUUUCUUGAGUAGUGCAGAGGUAGGCGGAAUUCCCGGUGUAGCGGUGGAAUGCGUAGAUAUCGGGAGGAACACCAGUGGCGAAGGCGGCCUACUGGG
This 692-nucleotide ribosomal RNA is filed under the name uncultured Lachnospiraceae bacterium. RNAcentral's name for it is "bacterial SSU rRNA". It matches the Rfam family "Bacterial small subunit ribosomal RNA", at positions 28 to 733 of the family's 1533-position model. Lineage: Bacteria; Bacillati; Bacillota; Clostridia; Lachnospirales; Lachnospiraceae. The record is from RNAcentral.